RNAcentral lists this long non-coding RNA (1212 nucleotides) under Capra hircus (goat). RNAcentral describes it as "lncRNA (ENSCHIG00010014126.1)". Lineage: Eukaryota; Metazoa; Chordata; Mammalia; Artiodactyla; Bovidae. The record is from RNAcentral.
CAUGAGCCACAACUAAUGAGCUUCUGUGCCACAACCGCCAACGCCCAAGUGCCCAGAGCCCGCCAGUCGCAACCGCUGAAACCUAUGAACCUAGAGCCUGUGCCCUGCGGCAGGAGAAACCACACACAAGCCCGUGCACCAGAGCUGGAGAGCAGCCCUCCACUCGCCACAGCUAGAGAAAGGAAGACCGCACGCAGCAAGAACCCAGUGCAGCCAAAAAUAAAUAGAGCAGGGUAUGCAUGUCAAAAAAAAAAAAAAAAAAAGGAAUGAGUAAUCAAAUGGUAUGGUGACAGGAGGGUGAUUAAAAUUGAGCAGGAAAAUAAAAUAGAAUUUUGGAAUUGAGGCAGUUUGUUGUCUCAGGUUCAGCUCCUUUCAUCAUUUCCAUCCUAGAAAGAACUAAUCAAGAAGGGGCCUGGAUGAGAAUUCUGUGGAGUAUGAAUGCCAACACUUAUUUAAAAACUCCACAAGUAGAGAAAAGUCAGAGCAUUUUCCUGGCUUUCCUCCCCAAACAAAAUUCAUACCAAUAUGACCAGUAAUUUAUCCUGCAUUUGACAUUUUCUAAUCUCAUUAUCAGGUAUUCUGGGGAAACUUCUUGGAAUUAGAGGACUUGGAAAGUUUAUAUUUUAGUAAAAUCUCUAAACCAUGGGAAUUCUUUGUCCAUUUUCUUCAUUUCUUUCUUAAAUAUAAUCAUAAAGGAAAAUGAAAAAUAUUAGUAGAAAGUAGCCAAAAAGUCUACCUGUGUCUCUCGAAUGACUUCAGAAUGAGAAUCUAGAACUGUAGAUUUUCACAUUGAAAGUUGCUGUUUCUCUAAAUGUAAAUGAAGUGUCUGCGUACUAGAAAUCUAAGCUGCUGUUGCUUUUGAGCUUCCUUCCCUUACUGAAGAUAUGGGUGGCAGACUCUGCAACCUCAUGGACUGUGGCCUGCCAGGCUCCUCUGACCAAGUGUUUCUCCAGGCAAGAAUACUGGAGUGGGUUGCCGUUUGUCACUGACAAAUAAAAUACAAAAUAUUUAAAGUUUACAAUGUGAUGACUUGAUGUAUGUGUACAUCAAAGGAUUCCCACAAUCUAGUUAACACAUCCAGCACCUCAAAUAUUUACCUUUCCUUUCCUUAGUAAAUUUCCUUUCCUUAGUUGAAAAUUUACUGGGUUUUUGUCAAAACCCAGGGGCUCUGGGUGCCCUGCUUCAUGCAUUGAACUUGGACUGGUCAUCUAU